Molecule: long non-coding RNA, 1436 nt
Organism: Arvicola amphibius (Eurasian water vole)
Lineage: Eukaryota; Metazoa; Chordata; Mammalia; Rodentia; Cricetidae
Exons: 3
Source: RefSeq, a predicted model, not a curated record
GCAAAAUCUUCGCGCCUCCAACGGCUGCGUCGGAAGCUCGCACUUCACACCCGGAAGCAAAUGUCGAACUCCUUCGCCGCGGUGCUGCGAGGACGGAAGGCGCCGGGGAUCGGUUCGCGUCUCGCAGGCGUGAGAGCUGAGGAGAGCGCGCCAGCUGGCCCAACGGCUCCUGCCUCAGUAGACCCCGCAGCCUAGGGACUAGAGUUGUCACUUAAGUGGACAUGAAGAAGGCGCAAAUAAGUACGGGGGCAGCCACGAGCUUUCCAAAGUGAUCUUUACAAAUAAAAGUACUACAGCUAUUUUUGCAAGCAUGCAGAGGAGUACACAUGUGCAUUUCCUAUGAACCACAUCAGCAGGGGGAGAGCUCUCCUUGUGGAAUCUCAUCAUGCCUGAUACUGUACAGCAUCUCAAUUUCAUCAGACCUGGCAGUGCGGGUGGUGACCUGUCAUUGACAUCUUGACCAUGUUUCCUUGAUGUCUAAUUCAUGUUUAUUAUCUACUUUGAUUUCUUUGUGAGGGAUUCUUCUACUGAAUUGUCUUUUCCUUACAGAUUUCUGUGUUCUUAACACUUGAGGUAGUAACUCCUGCUACUUAAGCUGCACAUAUAACUUCCCACAUCUCAUUUGGAAAUAUUUGAUACUGACUUUUGUAGAUGGAAAUCUUCCAUUGGGGGGAGUUCAACUUAUCAAUUUUUUUUUUGGUAAGUGCAUGCUAUAUUUUAGUUGAGAAUGAUUUUGCUUUGAAAUCAUAUUGGUACUCUUUGUGAGUAUCUUCUAAAGGCUUCAUAGACCUUUCUUAGACAGCCAGGCAUUCAUUUUGCCUGUAAUGUAAUAAUGGUGUCUUGGCAUCUAGUUGAACAAUUCCUGUUACCUCUUCCUCUCUUCCAAGAUCUCUUUGCCCUUUGUAUAUUCAGGGGCCAAAUGUCAAGUUCUAUACACUUGGAGUUUUAACUGAAAUAACAUUGCAUUUGCAAAUUUAAAAUGUGGUGUUUAUAAUGAUUCAGUCUUUAGAUUUAGGCACGAAGUAUAUCUUCACAUUUCUUUAGAUCAUCUUUGUUUUCUAGAGUAUGUCAGUAUACUGCUUCUCUGUGUAUAUUCAUAUUACUGCUUCAGAAAUCUCAUAAGCUCUUGCUGGCUUUAGGUGUCAUUAAUAUCUAAUGUUAUUGUCAAUGAUAUCAUUCUUAAAUUUGGAUCAUUUGUAACUGGUAUAUGUAAAUAUAGUUGAUUUUUGCAUAUAUCUAUUUGAAAUUUAGAGAACUUGUCAAAUUCUUCUGUUAAUUCAAGUGGUUUACUCUGAAUAUUUUUACACACAUACCAUCUGCCAAUAAUGAUAAUGUGUUUCUUCUUUUACAGUCUCUUUCCAUUCUGCCUUCUCUUUUCCCUUGCCUUGUGUUGGUUAGAACUUCCAGGACAAUGUUGAAUAAAGAUUCUGAUCCCA